Molecule: ribosomal RNA, 756 nt
Filed under: Sicyonia laevigata
Lineage: Eukaryota; Metazoa; Arthropoda; Malacostraca; Decapoda; Sicyoniidae
Description: eukaryotic LSU rRNA
Rfam family: Eukaryotic large subunit ribosomal RNA
Source: RNAcentral
CUGAGCUCCGGCUAAUUUUACGACUGGCGAAUCGAUGAGCUGCUUAGUGGGCCAGUCUUGGUAAGCAGGACUAGCGCUGUGGGAUGAACCAAACGUGACCGGGUUAAGGGGCCUAAGUGGAUGCUAAUUCCGAUCCCAUGGAAGGGAGUUGCUUGCUAUAGACAGCAGGACGGUGGCCAUGGAAGUCGGAAACCGCUAAGGAGUGUGUAACGACUCACCUGCCGAAGCAAGUAACCCCGAAAAUGGCAUGGCGCUCUAGCUUCCCCCCUAUACCCGGCCGCCGGGCGCAAUAUGGCUGCGCGCGUUUCGACGCGAUGCGAGGAGGCCUCGAUGCCCCGACGAGUAGGAGGGCUCGGCGGUGAGCAGAGAAGGGCGUUUGGCGUGAGCCCGUCCGGAGCCGCCGCCGAUGCAGAUCUUGGUGGUAGUAGCAACACUGAAACGAGUGAGAUUUGUCUUAGGCUUCCCUCGUUGGCCGAUGCGGAGCAGGGUUUCGCGGUAACAGCAUUUGGCCGCGAGUAACCCGUGCCUAAGCCGUGGGGGAGAAUCCCCGUCGUCCAGGGCUGAGUAAACAGAGAGCCAAACCAAGUUCUUUCUUUCUUGCUUUCUUUCUUUCUCCGUAACACGAGAAGAAGAAGUAGAAGAAUCCUUGAGACUCAUCUGGAUGAGGGGUUGCGGCGAUAAGCCGAUGGGUGUCGUCGACGGCCACAAUGGCCGGCGGUAGUUGCAGCAGCANCACCACCACCACCAGCAGNGUAG